Molecule: long non-coding RNA, 466 nt
Filed under: Manihot esculenta (cassava)
Lineage: Eukaryota; Viridiplantae; Streptophyta; Magnoliopsida; Malpighiales; Euphorbiaceae
Description: long non-coding RNA (MESC_LNC003221)
Source: RNAcentral
ACUAUCUCUGUCUGUACCCCUGACUAGAGCUGGCUCUAGAUGGGUUAUCUCAUACCUGUUAAGCCUGGGUUUUCACAUACUCAGCAAAAUAUAUACAUAAACAGAUCAUGUACACAACCAAAGAUUUACAACACAACUAUGUCAAGCACAAUUCUAACUGUAAACACAAUUAACAUAUCUCGGUAAUAUUACAUGUCCACCCUAAGCUAUUACAAGUUUCUUCUCUUAUCUCUGAACUCUUCUGACCUUCCCCUGUACACUGUACACUGAAAUCCUGCAAGACUGGGAUUAAGGGAGUGGGAUGAGCUCUAUAGCCCAGUGAGUAGAAUAACAAAAUCAGUCAUAAAAUAUGAUCUCAUGGAAUGCGUCAUAACACAGACAAGCCACAUCAAGAGUAAACCUGUCACCACAUAGCCUCAGUAACUUCCGUGCCAGGGCGUAGAAUCGAGCACCUGGUCUUCCUGUC